RNAcentral lists this ribosomal RNA (845 nucleotides) under uncultured bacterium. RNAcentral's name for it is "bacterial SSU rRNA". It matches the Rfam family "Bacterial small subunit ribosomal RNA", at positions 8 to 877 of the family's 1533-position model. The record is from RNAcentral.
AGAGUUUGAUCCUGGCUCAGGAUGAACGCUGGCGGCGUGCCUAAUACAUGCAAGUCGAACGGAGGUCGCAAGGCCUCAGUGGCGAACGGGUGAGUAACGCGUUGGUGACCUGCCCCGGAGAGAGGGAUAACAGUUCGAAAGGACUGCUAAUACCCCAUGUGGUUUUAGAGAUUAGAGGCUUUAAAACUAAAGGUGCAAACCGCUUUGGGAGGGACCUGCGUCCCAUCAGCUAGUUGGUAGGGUAACGGCCUACCAAGGCGACGACGGGUAGGGGGCCUGAGAGGGUGGCCCCCCACACUGGCACUGAAACACGGGCCAGACACCUACGGGUGGCAGCAGUAGGGAAUAUUGCACAAUGGGCGAAAGCCUGAUGCAGCAACGCCGCGUGCGCGAUGAAGGCCUUCGGGUCGUAAAGCGCUUUUCGGGGAGAUGAGGAAGGACAGUAUCCCCGGAAUAAGUCUCGGCUAACUACGUGCCAGCAGCCGCGGUAACACGUAGGAGGCAAGCGUUAUCCGAAUUUACUGGGCGUAAAGCGCGUGCAGGCGGUUUGGUAAGUUGGAUGUGAAAGCUCCCGGCUCAACUGGGAGAGGUCGUUCAAAACUACCAGACUUGAGGGCGGUAGAGGGAAGUGGAAUUCCGUGUGUAGUGGUGAAAUGCGUAGAUAUACGGAGGAACACCAGUGGCGAAAGCGGCUUCCUGGACCGAUCCUGACGCUCAGACGCGAAAGCUAGGGGAGCAAACGGGAUUAGAGACCCCGGUAGUCCUAGCUGUAAACGAUGUGAACUGGGCGUCGGUGGGUUUAAAUCCAUCGGUGCCGUAGCUAACGCGAUAAGUCACCGCCUGGG